Molecule: long non-coding RNA, 295 nt
Organism: Poeciliopsis prolifica (blackstripe livebearer)
Lineage: Eukaryota; Metazoa; Chordata; Actinopteri; Cyprinodontiformes; Poeciliidae
Exons: 3
Source: RefSeq, a predicted model, not a curated record
UGUGUGUGUGUGUGUGUGUGUGUGUGUGUGUGUGUGUGUGUGUGUGUGUGUGUGUGUGUGUGUGUGUGUGUGUGUGUUGACCUCCACAGAGGCGCUGAGCAUCACUGACCCCCAGCUCUGCUACAUCCUGGACGGGUUUCUGGGUCUCUACGGUCUCAUCAUGACCGGCAUGUUCAUCAAGGAGAAGUUCUUCAGAACCAAAGCGAAGGGCUCAGACGAUGGAACCUACGCUUCUCUCAGCAGAGCGACGGGCGACACCUACGAGCCGCUGAUGACCGACCCGGAGCGAGGACGG